RNAcentral lists this unclassified non-coding RNA (235 nucleotides) under Helotiales sp. Its description in RNAcentral is "partial contains small subunit ribosomal RNA, internal transcribed spacer 1, and 5.8S ribosomal RNA". The stretch from base 1 to 46 matches the Rfam family "Eukaryotic small subunit ribosomal RNA", at positions 1786 to 1831 of the family's 1831-position model. Lineage: Eukaryota; Fungi; Ascomycota; Leotiomycetes; Helotiales. The record is from RNAcentral.
AAGUCGUAACAAGGUUUCCGUAGGUGAACCUGCGGAAGGAUCAUUACAGAGAACUUGCCCUUCGGGGUAUUCUCCCACCCUUUGUUUACAAUACCUUUGUUGCUUUGGCGGGCCCGUCUCACGACCACCGGCUUCGGCUGGUCAGUGCCCGCCAGAGGACCCCAAACUCUUUUGUUAAUGUCGUCUGAGUACAAUAUAAUAGUUAAAACUUUCAACAACGGAUCUCUUGGUUCUG